AUCUUAUCAAGAGAGGUAGAGGGACUGGCCCAAUGAUGCCCGGCAACCUGAAUAUAUGUUUAUUGUAUUCAAUGGUGCCAAUUCCAGCAGUUGAAAUCUGAGAGAUGAGAA
Regulatory RNA element from Clostridium tyrobutyricum DIVETGP, 111 nucleotides. It matches the Rfam family "SAM riboswitch aptamer (S box leader)". From Rfam's summary of the family: The SAM riboswitch is found upstream of a number of genes which code for proteins involved in methionine or cysteine biosynthesis in Gram-positive bacteria. NCBI's taxonomy places the organism in Bacteria, Bacillati, Bacillota, Clostridia, Eubacteriales, Clostridiaceae. The record is from Rfam.